This 417-nucleotide ribosomal RNA is filed under the name uncultured bacterium. RNAcentral describes it as "bacterial SSU rRNA". It matches the Rfam family "Bacterial small subunit ribosomal RNA", at positions 355 to 773 of the family's 1533-position model. The record is from RNAcentral.
UGGGGAAUAUUGGACAAUGGGCGGAAGCCUGAUCCAGCAACGCCGCGUGAGGGAUGACGGCCUUCGGGUUGUAAACCUCUUUCAUCAUCGACGAAGCUCAGCUUUUUGUUGGGUGACGGUAGGUGGAGAAGAAGCACCGGCCAACUACGUUCCAGCAGCCGCGGUAAUACGUAGGGUGCGAGCGUUGUCCGGAAUUAUUGGGCGUAAAGGGCUCGUAGGCGGUUUGUCGCGUCGGGAGUGAAAACACUGGGCUUAACCGAGUGCUUGCUUUCGAUACGGGCAGACUUGAGGCAUUCAGGGGAGAACGGAAUUCCUGGUGUAGCGGUGAAAUGCGCAGAUAUCAGGAGGAACACCGGUGGCGAAGGCGGUUCUCUGGGAAUGUUCUGACGCUGAGGAGCGAAAGUGUGGGGAGCGAAC